RNAcentral lists this long non-coding RNA (233 nucleotides) under Malus domestica (apple). RNAcentral's name for it is "long non-coding RNA (MDOM_LNC012871)". The record is from RNAcentral. Lineage: Eukaryota; Viridiplantae; Streptophyta; Magnoliopsida; Rosales; Rosaceae.
CCCGGCCUAGAACGAUACCCUACUUACAUCUAUACUACAAUUGUCAAAAAGAGGGUUUAAUUUGUGUGUCAAGAAAUUCACGCAUCAAAUUUUGGCGCCGUUGCCGGGGAUUAGCAACUUUGCUAAUCCUUUUAUUUUUGUUUUUGUUUAUGUUUAUAUUGGUGUUUGUGUAUUUUACUUUUGAUAUUUGAUUUAUUUUUCUUUCUUUGAUUUUAGGUUCAAAUGGAGCCGAG